Ictidomys tridecemlineatus (thirteen-lined ground squirrel) is the source of this 4973-nucleotide long non-coding RNA. RefSeq lists it as uncharacterized. Lineage: Eukaryota; Metazoa; Chordata; Mammalia; Rodentia; Sciuridae. The record is from RefSeq and is a predicted model, not a curated record.
UCUGCCAAAAAGGCAACAGCGACAUGCUGUUCUGCUCUGCCCUGAGUGAUCAGACAAUUCUGAGAGCAAACAGGAACUCCGGCAGCAGGAAUCAAAGGCCUUCCCAGCCAGAGUGGAGAGAAGCAAGGGAGAGGUCCGAGAUUAAGAAAUAAAGUGAAUUCAUAUAUAUGGAAAAAUCAAGAGAGGGUCGCCAUGGUUUGGGUGAGAGUCCUCCUCUACCAUGUGUUCCACCACAGACCUAAAGCAAAAGGACCAAGCAUCCAUGGACUGAAACCUCUGAAUCCGUGAGCCAAAAGAAGCCUUUUCUCUUUCUAAAUUGAUUAUCUCAGGGAAUAGGAAGUUGUCUGUCCUUUUGUAGCAAGAGAGACCAUGAACCAACCAUAAGAUGGAAAUAGCAUCAGUAAAUCUUGUAGCUGGGAGAUCCUCGUGAUGCCUUUCUAAUGUCUAUUAAUAAACGAGGAGUUUCUGUGUUGUGAGAACGAGCUGUACCUGAAGGGAGUAACGUGUUCUCGAAAGGCAUUGACUCUCAUAUAUGUGAAGAGCACAUAUUCUUAUUCAGAGCUGUUUCAGCAGAACCUGAAGCAAUACAUGCUGUGGACAUCUACUGAAUACACGUGAAAUUCCUGUCGAACGAGGGAAUCAAAAAUCGUACACACUGGCUGGCAAAUGGAGGAGAGGCUGAAGUGGUUUCUUAGGGAAAGACACUGGAGACACCACUGCAGGUCCAAGUGCCUAUGCUGAUUCUCUUGGAGGUGGAAACAGGGUGGGGGGGGUGUAGCAAAGGAGUCGGCUGCUGAUGUAAAGCUUGUCUUUUCUCCUGGUCUCUUUUGAUGAGCUGUGCGCCAUGGGCUAUUAGGCCCCCAAAUAUUUUGGGUUAGAUACAAUAGCUCAGUGCACAUAAUUCCCAUUUGGCAGAGAGGGCUUUAGGCUUUAUUACGUCUGAAAUAGUACGGAGCACAUCACUUUGACUUUGAUUUUUUUACAAUGUAUUCAAGAUGAACAGAGAUUCCAGUGAAUUUGAUUCAUAUCGCCAGUUCAUUUAUUAGUGGGCAUGAUGAUGAAACCAUAAAUCUGUCGCCCAGGUGGCACUAAUGGACUCCUUCCUGAGCUCCCUCAGCAAUGAGGGUGAGACUCAAGUGGAAUGGACCCUGCUCCUUUACCUCAGGAAGUGCACGGCUGCCUGGGUCGUGGGAGAUGGUGUCCUUGUUGGUGACUGAUGCAUCCUUGGAAGGAGAACUCCCCUGCCCUGCAGUUCCCAGCAUUUUUAUUUUACUCUCACCCACAUCUCAGUCUUACUUUCCUAUAGUUACUGAGUGUCUCCGGUAGCAUCUUCUUCUAGCAUCAAUAGAGAAAUAGAAAUAGCAAAUAGAAUUAUGAUUGAUACAGAGAUCUUUCAAUUUUUAAUAUAUUAGCCUUAAAAGAAUCUAUCGCAGAAAUCCUGAGCCUGGAUAGGAGUGCCUAUGUGACAUUAAAUGAUCAGCAGUCACCAACACAAGGCUACAACAUCAGCAUCAUGGGUCAGGUGGUGGAGGUGGACAUUAAUGAUUUUAGAAGAGGUUAUUUAUUAUGGAUGAAGUAAAUGCCCUGGAGCAGACGUGUAUUUCGCUAGGAGGGUGCAUAACAGGGGGAGCUGAUAAGUCUGGGAGGGAUGAGGGUAUGGGAGAGGAGUAAAAGGUUCUCUGAGGAAGUGACAUCGCAGCUGACUGGGGAAGUGUGAGCAGAAGAAAGGAGUUAGUGAGGUAAGGACAGGUGGGUUCCUAAUGGGGAUGGGGCUCUCAAGCAAAGAAAACCACAUAUUUAUAAGUAGGAAGUCACUUAGCUCUUCAGAGAAAUGACACGGGGAUCAGGAGCCUUGAAUAUGGCAAGAAAGAAAAGGAGGAUUGUAAGACUGGGUGGAAACGUUGGUCAUAUCAUGAAAGUUCUUGUCAGUAAAAAUAAGGACUUUGGAUUUUAAGAAUAGUGAGAGGCUCUGCUUUUAUGAUGUGAUAUGUUUCAAAGAUUACUCGGAUUGGAAAGCGGGAAGAGUGGAAACAGGAGGCCAGUUAGGAAGCAUUAAUAAUUCUUCUAGAGAGAGGGAUGAUGGUACUUGAGCCAGAACUAUGAUGGAGAAAAGAGGACAGAUUUGAGACAGACGUGGAGGUCAAACAUGGCGGCUGUUUUCUAGUAGAGUUGUCCGUCAAGGACAAGUGGGGGAAUGGCUCUGUCAUUUCCUGAAAGGGAAAUGGCAGAAGAGAAGCAAGUGAGAUUGAGUUCCAGUUGCUUGCGGUGGAUGUGAGAGGAAGGUGCUGUGGAUUGCACAGAGAGCCCCAGGGGACAGGGAAGUGAGGCUGGCCACCUUUGUUCUAGUUUCUAUAGUGGGGAUCCGCUGAGCAUGUCUUUGCAUGCCCCAAACACACAGACCAACAAAAAUAAAAAUUUCCCGUACACAAAUGUGGCUUCAGAAACACUGUGAACAGUGUGACUCCACGAGGGUUUGUGAGGGCCAGCAAGGUUGGAAGUCACAUACCCAAAUGUCUCACCUUGUGCCUUUUAAGGGUUUUACUCUUUCACCAAGACUCUUCUCAGUGGAAGCUGCCUCAGUUCCCACCUUUCCUUCCACAAGCCUACCUCCACCUGACCUUGUCCCCACCCCAUCUUCCACAACAAAUUACCCGUGGUCACCCCUAGGGCCUCCAUUCAGUUCUUUCAGCCAAAUAAAGAUCUAUCUUGGAAGCUACCUGCCAAAGGAUGAUGGGGGUGAGAAGGACAGGGGGAUCAUGAAUAAUAACUAUUUUUUGUGCAAACGAACGUGUUAGCCACAUGCGUAUGGUAUUCCCAUCUGUAAGAGUGGAACCUCAGUGCAGAAAAACUCAGUACUGGAGGAAGAGGCAUUAUAGGAGCUAAUGUCUGCAGUGGACGAGAGAAGAAGGUGCUGUGGAUUGCACAGAGAGCCCCAGGGGACAGGGAAGUGAGCCUGUAACUUGAGAGGCAGGAGGAAAACCCAGAGGCUGGAGAACCCAGAAACCAAGUGUCCAGAGGCUUAAGAGAAUCUAUUGUCAACUUCUCAAAUCUGUUGGAAGCUCAUUUGCAUAUUCAAAAAAUGUAAAUGAUCCCAUUAAAAAAAAAGUCUGCUAUCUAUACUUUCAGCCAACGGAAAAUUGGCAGUCCCUAACGUGUGUACCAAGCUUUGCCAAGAAUUUCUUUUCUUCUUUUCUUCUUCUUCUCUUCUUUUUUUUUACUGGCAAAGAAUUGUUUUAAUUUUGACAUAGUAAAUAUAGAUUGUAAAUAAGAACAAGGCAAACAAUGCAUCAGAUGAGUAGGCAAAGUAAUAAUCACUAAAUAGAACAUGAAUGACUAAUAAACAUAAGAAAAACCCUCAGCCACAUGCUGUGAAUUUCUUUUGCCUGAAUGCAGAAACAUCAGUGCUACUUUUUCUUUUUUCUCUUUGUGGAACAGGGAUUGGUAAUAUGAGCAGAGAAUCCUAGUUGCACAUUUCCUAGCAAUUCUGAGAUGGAAGGUUGUUGACCUUCCAAAGUUUUAAAAUUGAAAGGUGGCCCAACAGCAAAAAAUAACUGCUUCAGAUACAAAUGGGUAACUUCGGUAGGUCUGCACGGGGUGGCACAAGAAUCCAUGCCAUGAGAGGAAACACGGGAUUCUCAACAGAAGAAAUGCUUUUGAGUCGAGACAAAGCAAGCUGAAUAUGACUCUUGCAAACAUUUUCGGGCUUUGGGAAGGAAAAUACAGACAAUUAAUUAAACCUUGUAUUAAAAUGAGCAUUUACCAUGCUGUUUUGCUUUGCUUCCUCUUAGUGAAGAAUGCAAUCUCCCUUCGUCACUCACCUGGGCCCUUCCCCUAUAAACAUUUUUCUGACUUCCUGCCCUCUGUUAUCCAAGAGGAGAAUGUUGAUGAAUGGAGUUAUAUCCUUUAUCUCAGUAUCUCUUCAACAGCACAGCAGAUUGUGUCUUGCCUUCCCCAUUCCCCUUCCAAAUCUUAUCAUUGGGAAUUUAUGGCAGUUGCCUCUGAGGAGUGGUCUCUAGUGAUGACAGGCACAGGCGUGGGGACAUGCCCCUGGGAGUUAUGCCCCGCGCCACAGUCUUGACUAACUUGGAUCCAGCUUGAGGCAAAACUGAAAACCACGGAAUAUAACCCAGGCAUGCAUUCAAAAGGAUGCACUUUCUCUUUGCUCCCCACAAUAAUUCCAUCUGGGCAGCUAGCAUUUGCUUUGCUACACCUGUGAGAUUGGGAGAUGAUUAAACAUUUUAAUUCUUUCUCUGUUGGACGUUGAAAUUCACAACCCAUUCACCGGCGCUUCCCCUCAGCUUACUGCCCGUGUGCUUGGGACUCGGGAUCAGAAUAGUAAUUUGUGGAUUAUGAGAGUCAGGCUGCUCAGGGUUGCUUUUCAGGCAUUCCCCAGGGCUUUCUUAAAAAAUCUUACUUGAGCUUUUCUAGACAGGGCCAAGGAAAGCAGUGAGACAUUCUGCUGUUUGGGUGAAGCAAAGCGAGGAGGAAGGAAGGGUUUUUAUGUUGGAGUUGAAACAACAAGCUUGGUACUAUCAAGAUAUGCCAAUUCAAACAAAAUGAGAAGAGAUCAAAUAAAUAAUAGCCAACUAGGACAUGUGGAGAUGUUUAUUGAGUUGCAUCAUAUUCUUGUUUUCUGUUGAUGUUCUUCCCCCUGUUUGUCCUUGAAGAUGAGGGUAAUCUUUCAGGUCAUCCAGUACAGAGACAGCCUGUGGAUCAUUACAUCUUAAGAAAUAAAGGACCUUAGAGAUCACAGCCUUCCAAUCUAUGUUACCUGCAUUCGGAUAAUCUAGAAUCAAAAUCUAGCCUCUGCCUGAACUCUUAAGUUUAUGAGGCUGACAGCUACAUCAUUUUCUGAACUGUUCCAAAUUAUGAAAGCAUUUUAUUUAAGCUACAGGAUGUUCAGUGGAAUGUUUUGCUGUUGUCUACAGAUGCCCACGAGUUGGAAAACAAAACAUUCUAAAUUAAGAAGGAGC